RNAcentral lists this small nuclear RNA (101 nucleotides) under Rattus norvegicus (Norway rat). Its description in RNAcentral is "7SK RNA". It matches the Rfam family "7SK RNA", at positions 1 to 97 of the family's 331-position model. From Rfam's summary of the family: 7SK was discovered as an abundant small nuclear RNA in the mid-70s but a possible function has only recently been suggested. Two independent studies have found that 7SK RNA binds the CDK9/cyclin T complex (known as elongation factor P-TEFb). P-TEFb activates transcription by phosphorylating the C-terminal domain of RNA polymerase II. Lineage: Eukaryota; Metazoa; Chordata; Mammalia; Rodentia; Muridae. The record is from Rfam by way of RNAcentral.
GGAUGUGAAGGGAAUCUGACUGUGAGAUCUGUUAUGCCAUUGAUCCCCAGGGUUAAUUCAGCUGAUCUGGCUGCCUACGUAUAUUUCCUUUCCACUCAUCC